This 88-nucleotide transfer RNA is filed under the name Acidobacteriota bacterium. Its description in RNAcentral is "tRNA-Tyr". It matches the Rfam family "tRNA". From Rfam's summary of the family: Transfer RNA (tRNA) molecules are approximately 80 nucleotides in length. Their secondary structure includes four short double-helical elements and three loops (D, anti-codon, and T loops). The record is from RNAcentral. Lineage: Bacteria; Pseudomonadati; Acidobacteriota. RNAcentral also lists the same sequence under 3 other names.
GCACAGGUGGGUGAGCGGUUAAAACCAACAGACUGUAAAUCUGUCGGCCUUAAGGUCUACGGAGGUUCGAAUCCUCCCCUGUGCACCA